AUUAAAUAAAAAAAUCAAGGUGCCAAGUAAUUGGUGAAAAGGGAAUGUGGUUAGAGACCACAGCAGCCCCCGCUACUGUAAUGAUGGACGAAUCUUUAUAACCACUGUGUAAAGCAGGAAGGAAAGAGGAGCAUUCCUGUUAUGAAGUAAAAUGAAAUUUGAAAAAAAGAGCACCUGCUGAUAAAAUACGGGGUAU
Molecule: non-coding RNA, 196 nt
Filed under: Clostridium grantii
Lineage: Bacteria; Bacillati; Bacillota; Clostridia; Eubacteriales; Clostridiaceae
Source: RNAcentral